CCUGCCUGCCUGUCUGCCUGUCUGCCUGCUUGCUCUCUGGCUUGCACUGGAUGACCUCUUGUAUAUGCCUGUUGGGAAAACAGACACUCCUGCAAGCUAGACUUCUAUUGCCAAACCUGCAAGGCCCCUUGUGUGUGUCUGAGAGAAAGACAGUGUCAGUGUGUGUGAGGGUGUUUGACUGUGUGUGUGUGUGUGUGUGUGUGCAUGCGUGUAAAGGGAGGGUGUCCAAAGGCUGCUUGGCUUGGCCGGCAGGUAACAAUCCUUUCCCCUUGUUCCAAAGCCUCUGUUGGGAAGAGAUAAGAGGAACGAUGUGGACUGAUAAGUCAUCACAACUAUUUAUAGUGUCAUUUCAAAUCCUCUUGAAUUCUCUCUCUGUCAUGGGGUCUUUUUAUCUCCUCUGCUUUCUGCUCUUUGUGUUGUAAACCUUGCUGCUUCCCCCUCUUGCUAACCGCUGUCCUUGUCCUCCUAUCCUCCCUCCCCAACUUGUGUUUUCAGGCCACCAUACUAGGGCUAAAGGUAGAAAAAGGAAACCUAAAAAGCUAAAGCUCAACAAGGAUUUAUUGGCGACAUAAUAAACUUGAACACAUUAUUCCAAAGUCCGGCCGCCGGACCCCCCGGCUCCAACAGUGGACAUAAGGUGAGACCCCAGCAGCAUUAGACUUCAGUGUGGAAGGGGCCAAAGAGAGGAUGCUGCCAUAUUUGGACUGCUGACCUACCCCUUCCCUGAUCCCACCCCACACCACCUACCGCCUUUUAAAAACAAAGAUUACUGUAAAGAGAAAAAAAGUUAAUAAAAUGCCAAAGGUGCUUUUUUCUAUUACCGUAAAAAGUAAUGCAGAAGGUCUCUGCCAAGCGCAGCAGAACCAACCAAUCAAACAAUGAUGCGGAUGAGGAUGGUGAAGCCGAUAAAGAGCUGGGCAGAAAAGAGAGGAGGAGGAGGACAAGAUGGAUUGUCGUUUGUUGGGUAAACAGGACAAUUUGACGAUCACAGAGAGAGAUCCAGGAUGGAUCAUUGGAUUAAGCCUCGAUGGGGGAUCUGUUGACUGGAUCCUAAAAGGACACAGAGAGGGACAAUCAAUGGACUCUUCGGGAUGUGUGGAGGCUUGCAUGUUCCUAGCCGUUGGUCUAAGUGACACUUGCCUGGACAGUCAAUGACUGACAGAGAGAGAGGGAGAGAGGGAACGAGAUGUUGAGAGAAGUUGUAGAGAGGUGUAGAAGGUACUGGUCGUGUUGCUUGUUGUUCCGAAACUCUCUGUACACUGUAGUGGAACUUGUGAACAUUCUGGAACUCAUAAAAUGGUUGCCCAUUUUGUCUCUUUUGGAUAAAGUGUUGGGAAAAGUGUUUGGAAUCAUCAGGACCUGUUGUUCCAAGAUGGCUUCUCUGCUUCUCUCUCUUGGGUUUCCCUAUCUGCUCCUAUUGGGAUUGUGCCAGUCGCCAUAUACACUACAGAACGAUUCAGAAAGGAAGAUUAAUUCAUUGCUACUAAUAAACUAUUUAUACGUGUGAACGUUUUCAUUUCUCUCUCUCUCCCUCCAAGACAUUGUUAUGUUUUCUGUGACAUGUAAGAGUCGGGUUCUGUCUGAUCCUCUGGUAGUGAAUCUUCAUGUCCACAUGUUGUUUGUAGUUGUUCAUGUAGUUGUUACUCAUGUUCAAUGUUGCCUUAUUAUGUGCCAGUAUAUUAUCUGAACAGUCUCAAGUCUAGUUGUAUGGGCUGGAAAUGGAAGGAAGCGUGGCGAGGAGGAGAUGGGAGGACAGAGUCUGUACAAGUACAGGAAGAUGCUUUAUUUUUGUUAAAAAAAUAUAUUAUGCUUACUUAUAUUCAAGCAGGAAGUAUGUUUGUUAUUUCUUUGUUUGUUGUGGUUGAAUGCUUUUAUGUAAUCCAUGGAAACGAUGUAGGAAUGGGGGUGAGGACAUGUAUAAGGCCCCAGCAAUGCACCCUGUUUGGUGCUGUAGGGUAGGCUUACAUCAGCAGUGCUGUACUCUAUUAUCUAGAGAGCUGGAUAGCGCUAACCUGGUCCCAGAUCAGUUUGUGUUGUCCUGCAAACACAUAUAGUCAUUGGCAAGACAGCACAAACCGAUCUGAGAUCAGUCUGGCUGAGGAAGACUCAAUCUGGGGCAUCGUUGGACUGUGUCUCUUUAACUCUGUUAUCUAGCCAAAAGUUACACCCAGUAACCAGAGCGUCAUUAUACACAACAGAACACACACGUUCAGCAUGUGUGUGUGUGCACAUAAAUGUGUGUGUGAAACCACUUUUAACCCACAUCACACUCCUUUGAUAAGAUGGUGCCCAGUCCGCCCCACCAGCACACAAGUUGUUCUGAACGAGUACAAAGUCCAUCUUGAAUGAGAGAGUUGGUGAACAAACCAACAUGAAUGGUUUCCUAGUUAAUCAAGCAGCAGUCUUCCAUUGACACGUUAACAACGGAGAAGACUGUUCCACUGUUGAUGAGUGAAAGAUAGAAAAAGAAGAUACCACUGUUUAUGGAGAGACUGACACCAAAUCUCUAACAACACCCUAUUUCCCGAAAAGUGCAGUGCACUACUUUAGACCAGAGCCACUGGCCAAAAGUAGUGCGCUACAUAGGGAAUAGGUUGUCGUUUGGCACACACUGAAUCAAUAGAAAUACCUGGGCACUUUCCCAAAAUGUCUCAGAGUAGGAGUGCUGUUCAUCUUAUUCCUUCUGAUCUAAACAGCUAAACUGAUCCAAGAUCAGCACUUGAUGAAGUCCUGGGUGAGAGGCAUGUUGAGAGAAAAUAGAUGACUGAAGAAGCAACAACAGUGUAUCUGCAGCUGCUCGGUGUUGCGGUAACAACAUGUUCAUCUGCACUAUACAGACUUCCAAGGUGAUUCCAUUGGUGCUAUAUGUAUAAAGGGAAUCAGAGGAAGUUUCUCCACCAUUUUGCAGUGCAUUUCUUCAUUCAUUGUCAAUAGACCAGGGACCACUGCUUACAGUAACUAAAGGAACCACAACAACACAAGCUUUUACCAUGUUUUAUUUGGGCCUCUAUUGGAUAAAAACAGCAAUGAUUAUAAUUUAUAUAUUUAUGUUUUCAAUAAUAAAUGCAUUCUGCUUAUCAAACUGUA
Non-coding RNA from Salvelinus sp. IW2-2015, 3087 nucleotides. Lineage: Eukaryota; Metazoa; Chordata; Actinopteri; Salmoniformes; Salmonidae. The record is from RefSeq and is a predicted model, not a curated record.